AUUCUGGCUCAUAACGGUGAAGUCUAAAAUAAACACAAGUGUUUAUCAUGAUAAUGCCGUGGGAAGUCUAAACAACCUUAUUUAAACAAACACACUAACAUGCUUAACUUAUUCUUAUAUUAUAUUAGAAUAUAAGUGUUGUAUUGUAAGAGUUCUGAUGUUUAAAUAUAGAUUGUUUAUGACCCCGUAACGACUGACCUGCUCUUUAGUAGUUCUAAAGAAGCUUCCUGUUUAUGAGGAAGGGGGGAAGAGAGGAUUUCCUCUAAUACGCCAGCCCUUUUAAAUAUGUUAAGUAGAAAAAAACUCGAAAAACUUAUAAACAAACAAAUAUGACCUUAUCACAACAAUCCAAAGGUUUUACAAUGGCUCGUUUAAUUGGUUUAAUUCAAGAGGUUCAUUUUACUGGACGUACACCUAAAAAGAAAGAAAGUAAGAGACGUCUGCCGUAUUAAUGAAUAUUUAGCGAUUGUCAAUGGUUAUUUUGAACAACAACUCUCUAACAUAUUCGCUUAACGGCUAAUAAAAGGUGAAAGCAUAGUCUAAUCUUUAAUGAAAAUUAAAGCAAUCGAAAAAAUGCUCUUAUUCGAAAUAACUCAUUUAUAGAUUUAUGGGAUUCUGUGGUUUAAUUUGAUGCUACGCGAAGAACCUUACCAGGGUUUGACAUGUCUAGAAUUUUCCAGAAAUGGGAAAGUGCCACCUAAAAAUGGAACUAGAACACAGGUGGUGCAUGGCUGUCGUCAGCUCGUGCGUUGACGUGUACGGUUAAGUCCUGCAACGAGCGCAACCCUCGUCUUUAGUUACCAGAAGGUUCUUUAAAGAGACUGCACGCGCAAGCGUUGAGGAAGGUGAGGAUGACGUCAAGUCAGCAUGCCCCAUACACCCUGGGCGACACACGUAAUACAAUGGUUGGGACAAUCAGUAGCUAACUCGCGAGAGCUUGCCAAUCUGUUAAACUCAACCUCAGUUCGGAUUGUAGGCUGCAACUCGCCUACAUGAAGCCGGAAUCGCUAGUAAUCGCCAGUCAGCCAAAUGGCGGUGAAUACGUUCUCUAGUCUUGUACACACCGCCCGUCACACCGCGAAAGUAGAUUGUAGUUGAAGUCAUUAGUUCUAAAGACGGUGCCCACACUCCAAUUUAUAAUCAUGGUGAAGUCGUAACAAGGUAAGGCUACUGGAAGGUGGCCUUG
RNAcentral lists this ribosomal RNA (1186 nucleotides) under Haematococcus lacustris. Its description in RNAcentral is "bacterial SSU rRNA". The stretch from base 551 to 1186 matches the Rfam family "Bacterial small subunit ribosomal RNA", at positions 874 to 1520 of the family's 1533-position model. The record is from RNAcentral. Lineage: Eukaryota; Viridiplantae; Chlorophyta; Chlorophyceae; Chlamydomonadales; Haematococcaceae.